AAUGUGGCAGGGCAUGGCUAGGGCAGCAGCGUAUGGUCCCUGAUUGAUAUGUCGUGGCGCGGCCAGCAAGAAAAGCAUGGUGCGGUGAGGCUAUUGCAGGCAUGGCCGCAGCAUAUGGAUGACAAGAUUGGCCUUCUAAGGUUGGUCUUCUGAGGUUGGCCUUCUAAAGUCGGCCUUCUGAGGUCGGCCUUCUGAGGUCAGCUCGGCCAGAAUUGAAUGACUUCAUGCCGAAAAUAGGACGAUCCAUUUUGCCUCCCAUCAUUGCCUCCUGAUUUUCGAGUUCGAGUCGUUUGUUGGCUCGAGCAAAGAAAGUAGCCGAGUCGUUGAUCGUCCUGUAAUUCAGUCAAAUAUUUGUGAAAAUACAUAUGCCGAGAAGGGUGUACCUCUCAUGUCGUUGAAGCUAACGACUUCAAGCCGAGCUUUUCGAGCCGAGCUAAGCGACUCUACUCUGAGGUUGAUUUCAACAACCUUCUUUGGCUCGUGAUUGACUCAGUAGGGCGCCCCCACUCAAAUCGGGGCGCGUCGUAGCAGAAGGUGUCAAAUAGCGUUGAAUAUCGUCGAAAGGCGUCGAAUGUCAUCGAAAUGGCAUCGAAGGGUGUCGAAGGGCCUCGAAUGUCGUCGAAGGGCAUCGAAUUGACGUCGAAUGUCGUCGAAGUGGCGUCGAACUGGCAUCGAAUGUCGUCGAAGGGCGUCGAAUGGUCCUACAGUCAAGGGACCUAGGAUUUGGGCUGACUUAAGUUGCAUACUGAUCUAGGAUUUGGGCUGACUUAGUAAUUAAAACUUUGUGUGCUUUUGAAAUUCUUGGCACUUAUGCAUUUGAAAUUAGAUUUUAUGAAAUAAUGAAAUAAACUCUUUGGGUAGAGACAACAGUUUAUGGGUAUCUGAGCCGGAAAUCCUCACGAGACAAAACUCGUCCACAAGGGCCACCUAGGGGUUUAAAGCCUUAUUGCAUACGGUAAAUGCAAUCGCGAUUCCCACGAAAGUGAGUUUUUUUUAUUUUGCUCGAGGACUAGCAAAAUAUAGGUUGGGGGGUGUGAUAAAUGCUAAAUAAUGUAUAAAUAAAUCUAUUUUACAUAGCACUUAUUAGUAUUUUUAUAUAUAUACUUUAAGUUUAAAUAUGAGAAAAUAUGUUAACCUUCAUCAAUGCAUUUUAAUUCGAUUUUGUUUAUUGAUUGAGCCUAAUGUAUGCAGGUCGAGUCAAGCUCAAUAAGAUAAAGCCUAAACCUACACUGAAUCAUUUCAUAAUUCCACAUCCUCCAGAGUCGACUCCAAGAACUCUCCUCCAAAACCCAGUGCUUCCCAUUAAUUUCCGUCUCUUCACAAGUUCACCUAAUUCUCUUCCCACACUUUUCAAUCAUUUAUUUCUCAGAUCUCAAAGUAUAUCAUCUAUUCAUCUAUAGUUGCACAGAUCUCAGAGAAUUCUAGUCAUUGGCCUCUUCCCAGCCGAAUAGGAUUAAUUCCCCUGCUUCAAACAGUUCAAUUCCCAUCUUCCCAACCAAGCCAAAUCAAAUCCACGAAUUAUCUCCCUUGCUCUACAUUCGCAUGGGAUCACCCGUCCAAAAACCCCCCUGUUUCUCCGAGCAAUUCCUUCUCCCCAAGCAUCACGGAAGAGCUCGCUAUCCGCAUCCCUUGCAUCCACAACAAUCCCACGCUCAUCCCAAG
Molecule: long non-coding RNA, 1662 nt
Filed under: Phoenix dactylifera (date palm)
Lineage: Eukaryota; Viridiplantae; Streptophyta; Magnoliopsida; Arecales; Arecaceae
Description: long non-coding RNA (PDAC_LNC014147)
Source: RNAcentral